RNAcentral lists this ribosomal RNA (341 nucleotides) under uncultured Desulfobulbus sp. RNAcentral's name for it is "bacterial SSU rRNA". It matches the Rfam family "Bacterial small subunit ribosomal RNA", at positions 1041 to 1382 of the family's 1533-position model. Lineage: Bacteria; Pseudomonadati; Thermodesulfobacteriota; Desulfobulbia; Desulfobulbales; Desulfobulbaceae. The record is from RNAcentral.
CUGCAUGGCUGUCGUCAGCUCGUGUCGUGAGAUGUGGGUUUAAGUCCCGCAACGAGCGCAACCCUUGCCUUUAGUUGCCAGCAGUUCGGCUGGGCACUCUAAAGGGACUGCCGGUGUUAAACCGGAGGAAGGUGGGGAUGACGUCAAGUCCUCAUGGCCUUUAUGACCAGGGCUACACACGUACUACAAUGGCCGAUACAAAGGGCAGCGACACUGCGAGGUGAAGCCAAUCCCGUAAAAUCGGUCUCAGUCCGGAUUGGAGUCUGCAACUCGACUCCAUGAAGUUGGAAUCGCUAGUAAUCGUGGAUCAGCAUGCCACGGUGAAUACGUUCCCGGGCCUU